AGUGGAGCUCUGGUGGAUGUAACCCAUAGCCUAUCUAUGAUGUUUCCUACAUGGCAGCUGGCGUGGCGGACAGUCGCUCUAAUGUGAUUAAGUGAUAAAGGAGUUGAAUUUAUUCUCGUCAUUUCAACUUUAAUCUCGAAAUUUCGACAUUAUUCUCGAAAUGGUAGUUCAACUUUAUUCUCGUCAUGUUGACUUUAUUCUCGCCAUUUCGACUUAAUUCUCGACAUUUCAACUUUAUUCUCGAAAUGCAAAAUAAUAAUAUAAAAUCUUCCUCCUUGAUUUUUUUCCCCUUGAUGUG
Long non-coding RNA from Sander lucioperca (pikeperch), 298 nucleotides. RefSeq lists it as uncharacterized. The transcript is spliced from 3 exons. NCBI's taxonomy places the organism in Eukaryota, Metazoa, Chordata, Actinopteri, Perciformes, Percidae. The record is from RefSeq and is a predicted model, not a curated record.